Molecule: ribosomal RNA, 118 nt
Filed under: Pteropus alecto (black flying fox)
Lineage: Eukaryota; Metazoa; Chordata; Mammalia; Chiroptera; Pteropodidae
Source: RNAcentral
GUCUAUGGCCAUGCUACCCUGAACAAGCCCCAUCCUGUGCGAUCUCGGAAGCUAAGCAGGGUCAGGCCUGGUUAGUACUUGGAUGGGAGACCACCUAGAAAGGCUAGUGCUGUUGGUG